GAGAGCCGUGUGAUAGGUGACUAUCCAGCACGGUUCGGAGAGCACUUUUUUUGUAGUCUGCGCUGGUGAAUGGAAGCCCCCCCUAUCAAGCAAGAAAGAAGCGGCUCUUUCCACGGCGGAGUCACCAUUGACUCUAU
RNAcentral lists this non-coding RNA (137 nucleotides) under Salix viminalis (osier). The record is from RNAcentral. Lineage: Eukaryota; Viridiplantae; Streptophyta; Magnoliopsida; Malpighiales; Salicaceae.